Glomus cerebriforme is the source of this 74-nucleotide non-coding RNA. Lineage: Eukaryota; Fungi; Glomeromycota; Glomeromycetes; Glomerales; Glomeraceae. The record is from the annotation of a GenBank genome assembly.
GGGACCAUAAUCUCAGUUGGUAGAGGGCUCCCUUGAUAGGGGAGAGGUCGGUGGUUCGAGCCCACCUGGUCCCA